RNAcentral lists this long non-coding RNA (5069 nucleotides) under Selaginella moellendorffii. Its description in RNAcentral is "long non-coding RNA (SMOE_LNC001727)". The record is from RNAcentral. Lineage: Eukaryota; Viridiplantae; Streptophyta; Lycopodiopsida; Selaginellales; Selaginellaceae.
CCAGAUGAAGUUUCCAAACGUGAGGUCAAGCUUUCCGUCCCAGUAGAAGAACUCCUGCAGUCAGGGAACGAAGCCGUCCAGGAGCCACAGCCUGUGCUUGAGGCCGUGCCUGAGGAUUCUGAAGAGGCUGCCAAGGAGGUGGAACCGGCCGAGGCAGUCGUAGCUCAAGUACCAACUGCCACAGUGGAUGACGUCUUACCUGCACACGAGGAAAUCAAGGAGGAAGAGAGCAUAGAGCCGGCCAAGGUGGCUCUGGAUGACCAGGUGGAGAAUGUCGAGCCCAAGGAGAGUGCUUCAGUCGCGAUCCUGGACGAGGGAGAAAAGUUGGCGGUGCCAGAGAUCGAGAGUGGUGCACCGGAUUCCAUGCAUGCGACAGAUGCCACAGUGGAGGACACACAGCGAGCAUCUUCUGCCAGUGAAGACGUUCACGAGAACGUGGAAGAGGAGCAAGCGAACGUUGCGGUGCCACAUCAAGUUUCCGAACGAGAGCUUGAGAUUGCCGUCCCAGUAGAAGGACUCCCACAGUUGGUGAACGAAGCCGUCCAGGAGCCACAACCUGUGCCUGAGGCCGUUCCCGAGCCAGAGGCCGUGCCUGAGGCUGCUGAAGAGGCUGCCAAGGAGGUGGAAGCGGCCAAGCCAGUCGUAGCUCAAGUACCAACCGCCACAGUGGAUGACAUCUUACCCACACACGAGGAAAUCAAGGAGGAAGGGAGCAUAGAGCCGGCCAAGGUGGCUCUGGAUGACCACGUGGAGAAUGUCGAGCCCAGGGAGAGUGCUUCAGUCGCGAUCCUGGACGAGGGAGAAAAGUUGGCAGUGCCAGAGAUCGAGAGUGGUGCACCGGAUUCCAUGCAUGCGACACAUGGUACAAUGGAGGACUCACAGCGAGCAUCUUCUGCCAUUGAGGACAUUCACGAGAACGUGGAAGAGGAGCAAACAAAAGUCGAGGUGCCACAUGAAGUUUCCGAACGCGAGGUCGAGCUUGCCGUCCCAGUGGAACAUCUCCCACAGUCAGGGAACGAAGAAGUCCAUGAGCCACAGCCUGUGCCUGAGGCCGUUCCCGAGCAUGAGGCCGUGCCUGAGGCUGCUGAAGAGGCUUCCAAGGAGGUGGAACCGGCCGAGCCAGUCGUAGAUGAAGUACCAACCGCCACAGUGGAUGACAUCUUACCCACACACGAGGAAAUCAAGGAGGAAGGGAGCAUAGAGCCGGCCAAGGUGGCUCUGGAUGACCAGGAGGAGAAUGUCGAGCCCAGGGAGAGUGCUUCAGUCGCGAUCCUGGACGAGGGAGAAAAGUUGGCGGUGCCAGAGAUCGAGAGUGGUGCACCGGAUUCCAUGCAUGCGACAGAUGCCACUGUGGAGGACUCACAGCGAGCAUCUUCUGCCAGUGAAGACAUUCACGAGAAUGUGGAAGAGGAGCAAACCAACGUUGACGUGCCACAUCAAGUAUCUGAACGCAAGGUUGAGAUUCCCGUCCCAGUAGAAGGACUCCCACAGUCAGGGAACGAAGAAGUCCAGGAGCCACAGCCUGUGCCUGAGGCCGUUUCCGAGCCAGAGGCCGUGCCUGAGGCUUCUGAAGAGGCUCACAAGGAUGUGGAAGCGGCCGAGCCAGUCGUAGCUCAAGUACCAACCGCCACAGUGGAUGACAUCUUACGCGCACACGAGGAAAUCAAGGAGGAAGAGAGCAUAGAGCCGGCCAAGGUGGCUCUGGAUGACCACGUGGAGAAUGUCGAGCCCAGGGAGAGUGCUUCAGUCGCGAUCCUGGACGAGGGAGAAAAGUUGGCGGUGCCAGAGAUUGAGAGUUGUGCACCGGAUUCCAUGCAUGCGACAGAUGCCACCGUGGAGGACACACAGCGAGCAUCUUCUGCCAGUGAAGACAUUAAUGAGAACGUGGAAGAGGAGCAAACAAAAGUGUAGGUGCCACAUGAAGUUUCCGAACGCGGGGUCGAGCUUGCCAUCCCAGUAGAAGAACUCCUGCAGUCAGGGAACGAAGCUGUCCAGGAUGCACAGCCUGUGCUUGAGGCCGUUCAGGCUUCUGAAGAGGCUGCCAACGAGGUGGAGUCGGCCGAGCCACUCGUAGCUCAAGUACCAACCGCCACAGUGGAUGACGUCUUACCCGCACACGAGGAAAUCAAGGAGAAAGAGAGCAUAGAGCCGGCCAAGGUGGCUCUGGAUGACCACGUGGAGAAUGUCGAGUCCAGGGAGAGUGCUUCAGUCGCGAUCCUGGACGAGGGAGAAAAGUUGGCGGUGCCAGAGAUUGACAGUGCUGCACCGGAUUCCAUGCAUGCAACAGAUGCCACCCUGGAGGACACACAGCGAGCAUCUUCUGCCAGUGAAGACAUUGACGAGAACGUGGAAGACGAACAAACCAACGUCGAGGUGCCACAUUUAGUUUCCGAACGCAAGGUCAAGCUUGCCGUCCCAGUAGAAGAACUCCCACAGUCAGGGAACGAAGAAGUCCAGGAGCCACAGCCUGUGCUUGAGGCCGUUUCCGAGCUUGAGGCCGUGCCUGAGGCUUCUGAAGAGGCUGUCAAGGAGGUGGAACCGGCCGAGCCAGUCGUAGCUCAAGUACCAACCGCCACAGUGGAUGACAUCUUACCUGCACACGAGGAAAUCAAGGAGGAAGAGAGCAUAGAGCCGGCCAAGGUGGCUCUGGAUGACAAGGUGGAGAAUGUCGAGCCCCGGGAGUGUGCUUCAGUCGCGAUCCUGCAGGAGGGAGAAGAGUUGGCGGUGCCAGAGAUCGAGAGUGGUGCACCGGAUUCCAUGCAUGCGACAGAUGCCACAGUGGAGGACACACAGCGAGCAUCUUCUGCCACUGAAGAAAUUCACGAGAACGGGGAAGAGGAGCAAAGCAAUGUCGAAGUGCCACAUGAAGUUUCCGAAGGGAAAUUCGAUCUUGCUGUCCCCGUAGAAGAACUCCCACAGUCGGGGAACGAAGAAGUCCAGGAGCCACAGCCUGUGCUUGAGGCCGUGCCUGAGGCUUCUGAAGAGGCUGUCAAGGAGGUGGAACCGGCCGAGCCAGUCGUAGCUCAAGUACCAACCGCCACAGUGGAUGACAUCUUACCCGCACAUGAGGAAAUCAAGGAGGAAGAGAGCAUAGAGCCGGCCAAGGUGGCUCUGGAUGACAAGGUGGAGAAUGUCGAGCCCCGGGAGUGUGCUUCAGUCGCGAUCCUGCAGGAGGGAGAAGAGUUGGCGGUGCCAGAGAUCGAGAGUGGGUCACCGGAUUCCAUGCAUGCGACAGAUGCCACCGUGGAGGACACACAGCGAGCAUCUUCUGCCAGUGAAGACAUUCACCAGAACGUGGAAGAGGAGAAAACCAACGGUUACGUGCCACAUCAAGUAUCCGAACGCGAGGUUGAGAUUGCCAUCCCAGUAGAAGGACUCCCGCAGUCGGGGAACGAAGACGUCCAGGAGCCAGAACAUGCGCUUGAGGCCGUUCAGGCUUCUGAAGAGGCUGCCAACGAGGUGGAGUCGGCCGAGCCACUCGUAGCUCAAGUACCAACCGCCACAGUGGAUGACGUCUUACCCGCACACGAGGAAAUCAAGGAGAAAGAGAGCAUAGAGCCGGCCAAGGUGGCUCUGGAUGACCACGUGGAGAAUGUCGAGUCCAGGGAGAGUGCUUCAGUCGCGAUCCUGGACGAGGGAGAAAAGUUGGCGGUGCCAGAGAUUGACAGUGCUGCACCGGAUUCCAUGCAUGCAACAGAUGCCACCCUGGAGGACACACAGCGAGCAUCUUCUGCCAGUGAAGACGUUCACGAGAACGUGGAAGAGGAGCAAGCGAACGUCGCGGUGCCACAUCAAGUUUCCGAACGAGAGCUUGAGAUUGCCGUCCCAGUAGAAGGACUCCCACAGUUGGUGAACGAAGAAGUCCAGCAGCCACAGCCUGUGCUUGAGGCCGUUCCCGAGACAGAGGCCGUGCCUGAGGCUUCUGAAGAGGCUGCCAAAGAGGUGCAACCAGCCGAGCCACUUGUAGCUCAAGUACCAACCGCGAAAGUGGAUGACAUCUUACCCACACACGAGGAAAUCAAGGAGGAAGAGAGCAUAGAGCCGGCCAAGGUGGCUGUGGAUGACCACGUGGAGAAUGUCGAGCCCAGGGAGAGUGCUUCAGUCGCGAUCCUGCAGGAGGGAGAAAAGUUGGCGGUGCCAGAGAUCGAGAGUGCUGCACCGGAUUCCAUGCAUGCGACAGAUGCCACCCUGGAGGACACACAGCGAGCAUCUUCUGCCAGUGAAGACAUUGACGAGAACGUGGAAGAGGAGCAAACCAACGUUGACGUGCCACAUCCAGUAUCCGAACGCGAGCUUGAGAUUCCCAUUCCAGUAGAAGGACUCCCGCAGUUGGGCAACAAAGAAGUCCAGGAGCCAGAGCAUGCGCUAGAGGCCGUUCUCGAGCUAGAGGCCGUGCCUGAGGCUUCUGAAGAGGCUCCCAAGGAGGUGGAACCGGCCGAGCCAGUCGUAGCUCAAGUACCAACUGCCACAGUCGAUGACGUCUUACCCGGACACGAGGAAAUCAAGGAGGAAGGGAGCAUAGAGCCGGCCAAGGUGGCUGUGGAUGACCAAGUGGAGAAUGUCGAGCGCAGGGAGAGUGCUUCAGUCGCAAUCCCGGACGAGGGAGAAAAGUUGGCAGUGCCAGAGAUUGAGAGUUGUGCACCGGAUUCCGUGCAUGCGACAGAUGCCACCGUGGAGGACACACAGCGAGCAUCUCCUGCCAGUGAAGACAUUAAUGAGAACGUGGAAGAGGAGCAAACAAAAGUCGAGGUGCCAGAUGAAGUUUCCAAACGUGAGGUCAAGCUUUCCGUCCCAGUAGAAGAACUCCUGCAGUCAGGGAACGAAGCUGUCCAGGAUGCACAGCCUGUGCUUGAGGCCGUUUCCGAGCUUGAGGCCGUGCCUGAGGCUGCUGAAGAGGCUGCCAAGGAGGUGGAACCGGCCGAGGCAGUCGUAGCUCAAGUACCAAUCCGCACAGUGGAUGACGUCUUACCCGCACACAAGGAAAUCAAGGAGGAAGAGAGCAUAGAGCCGGCCAAGGUCGCUGUGGAUGACCAUGUGGAGAAUGUCGAGCCCAGGGAGAGUGCUUCAGU